This 432-nucleotide ribosomal RNA is filed under the name uncultured bacterium. RNAcentral describes it as "bacterial SSU rRNA". It matches the Rfam family "Bacterial small subunit ribosomal RNA", at positions 338 to 763 of the family's 1533-position model. The record is from RNAcentral.
CCUACGGGGGGCAGCAGUAGGGAAUCUUCCGCAAUGGGCGAAAGCCUGACGGAGCAAUGCCGCGUGAGUGAUGAAGGUUUUCGGAUCGUAAAGCUCUGUUGCCAGGGAAGAACGCUUGGGAGAGUAACUGCUCUCAAGGUGACGGUACCUGAGAAGAAAGCCCCGGCUAACUACGUGCCAGCAGCCGCGGUAAUACGUAGGGGGCAAGCGUUGUCCGGAAUUAUUGGGCGUAAAGCGCGCGCAGGCGGUCAUUUAAGUCUGGUGUUUAAUCCCGGGGCUCAACCCCGGAUCGCACUGGAAACUGGGUGACUUGAGUGCAGAAGAGGAGAGUGGAAUUCCACGUGUAGCGGUGAAAUGCGUAGAUAUGUGGAGGAACACCAGUGGCGAAGGCGACUCUCUGGGCUGUAACUGACGCUGAGGCGCGAAAGCGUG